Leopardus geoffroyi (Geoffroy's cat) is the source of this 4484-nucleotide long non-coding RNA. RefSeq lists it as uncharacterized. The record is from RefSeq and is a predicted model, not a curated record. The transcript is spliced from 2 exons. Lineage: Eukaryota; Metazoa; Chordata; Mammalia; Carnivora; Felidae.
CGAAGUAAAUGAUUUUCUAAAGGUCAGUCUCCCUGAAAGCAUUUGGGCGCUCCCUCUCUCUCUCUCUCUCUCUCUCUCUCUCUCCUUUUUUAAUAUUGUGUUUUUCCAGUUGGAAAAGGAAGACAAGACUAAGAGAGUUGAACCGGGGUAGGUAGGGACAUUGUAAAUUAUGGUUUAGAGAGGUCGUGAGACUGAGUCGCUGAAAGUAUGUUUCCUCACUAUAAUAGUGAGCUGUGAACCUGUGUAUUGUAGGGAGAGAAGGGGACAGACCCUGGCAAUGAGGGGGAGGAGGUCGCGGAAUCGAGGAAGUCGAAGAGAGUUCUUUUUUUAAUUUUUUUUCCGUUCUUCGUUGUAAAUUGCUGCUAAACACUUCUGACUUUUAAAUUGCUACUAAGACGGUCCAUAAACCGUUCUCAUCCAAUUUAGUCACUUUUAUUACAUUCCUCUUUGCUUCCCCCAAUCACUGUGGCGGUUCCCAGUUUCGAUGUGGCCACAAUCGGAACCAGUGAAGGUAGAAAACUCUGGAACAGAGAUCGGCAACCGGAGCAGGAUUCAGGGGCUUUAAAUUUUAACCUGAGUUCGAUCGAAUGGGACUGGCAGAAGAGCUGACCUGGCGUCCGCCUGCCACUUAACUCCGACCAGGGCUGAAAGCUACUUUCUUUUGGGUUUUUUCGUGAGUUUCCGACCAAGUUUUUAACAGACUCAGUUUUUUCAGAAGCUCAUUUGUAAGCAGUUACAGAAACGUUGUGGACACUUGAUUUUCUUCGGGGCCAACUGUUGUCAAGUGCUUCUCAGUUUUACUCUUAAAAGCAAAGGUUGUUGGUUUUUUUGUUUUUUUGUUUUUUUUUCUUAAUUCAUAUCUCAGUGAGGUGAUUUCUAAUGCGGACGAGUUUUUAAAAAUCCUCUGGCUAAGUUAGAUUCCAGGAUGUGAAUGGCCUCCAAGCCUGAGCCCUGAGAAGACCCAGACCCGAACCUGAUUCCUGUUGUGUGUGUUUCUUUAUAUUAGGAAGUAUGAAGGUGUCUGAAUUUCCUUGGACAAUAGCUAAGCCCCCAGGGACGUGCUUUCCCCGCAGCUCCGCAGCAGCUGUACGAGGGUGCACCGGCCCUGACACCGCUGGGACAGACCUUGACCGACCCCACAACGUGCGGUUUCAAAGGGCUCGAGAAGGCGCCCGGGAUUUUACCUUCCAGAUUCCCAAUCUCUUUUUAACAUUGCCUAAAACAAGGGUGGGCAGUUGCAAUUUGCUCCUUUGCACGGUCACAAUUUUUUUUAGACUGGUUUUCCAACUAAAGGAGACAAGGGGUAGUAAAAUGGUUUUUCUUUUCUUUUUUUUUUUUCUUUUCAGUUCGCUUAAAAAUAAAACAAAACCGUUUAACCCGUAGAGUUUAUCCAGACAACAAACUAAGGCCGCCUGACCCAUCCAGUGUACCAUUUCCCCAAUGCAUUGGAUUUGGCCCUGGGGAAAACACCCCCGGAAGUAGUGGCACAUUUUCAAAGCCACCCCUAAGGGACCCUGGGUCCCGCGCUUCCUUUGAGCACACCAGCUGGUCCAGAAAGGAGGGCAGAAUAGGGAUGCGGAGGGAAGAAGUGCACCCCAAACUAGGGAGGAACCCGAGAGCUGGAGAAGUCCCCCAUAAUUCCCCAGUGAAUAGGCUGCUAGAAGUUCUAUUCUCUUCGCGGUUUUUUCUUUAUCUUUUUCCUUUCCUUUUCCUUCCGUCUGUCUCCUUUUUGAGGAGAUUUACUAAACUGAAACGAAAUUAUUUCUCCCCGGACUAUUUAGACUCGAGGAGGGGCCCCUCUGGAGUGAGCCUUCCGUCCUCAAGCCGCCCUCCUCGCCCUCGGAGAGGUGCUGGCUCCGAAAUGCGACCUGUCCCCAGGGCUGAUUUAUUUGGGCUGCGCCACACUACUAUUUGCGAUUCGAAUCCAGCCGGAAUCCGGCAGCCAAUUGGGCAGGGGGCGGAGGCUUUGCUGCCAAAUGCGAAGGGGUGUUUGGGAACCCAGUGGUGCUCUGUUUCCAGAGGAGCGCGAGACCCGGGUGAGGACCCGAGAAACGACACGCCUUUACCCGCCCCCCGAAACCUUAAGCUCAAUAAGUUGUCAGUUCACAAAGCUCCCGGCUGCUCCAGCGAGGUUUCGGAAAGAAAGAAUACAAUUUCUGAUUUAAAACGUAGUUUUAAAUUGAGAGUUUUAAAAAAGGUCUCUGGGGCCUUCUCGCCGUUACCGUAUUUCUUGCUGUCCCUGGGACGCUUUUGACGAAGGACACGGGUCGCCCCGGUGCCCCCACCCCAGCCAGCAUCCUGCCCCAAUAGUCGGGUUGGGGCGGCCUGUCCCCCGGACUCAGCGGCUGCCAAUCCAAUGCAAGCGCGUCCAGAGAGUCCAGGCGGUGUUUGGGAUGGGGGAGGGCGGGUUUGGGUGGGGGAGGGCGGGUUGUCUCUCUCUCUCUCUCUCUCUCUCUCUCUUUCUUUAAUUCUCGGUAGCCCAAAAACACUCUUUAGGAAAGUCAGGUGGUGGCGGCGGGAGCUCGAGAACUGCGCAGCCUAGAAAGCCGGGUCGCCCCCACCCCCCCGUCCGGCUCCCCGCCCCCUCGCCCCGCUGGUCACCAGGAGUUGGGAACUUGCCGCGCCAACGCCGGGCCAGGGCGGUCUGCACCGAGUCCCGGCGCGCGCGCGGCUGCUGCAGGCCCGGCCCGGCGGCCCCUCGCCCCGCAGCCCCGGGCCGCCCCCCGCGCACCGCCCCGGGCCGCCAGCGCGGCGCGGAGAGGUCACCGCGGUGGCAUUCCUCCCCGCGCGCUGUUUACGUGACUUAAUGUACUUCAUACGCCGCGGCUUGUUAUCUAGGCCACCCAUGACCGACGAAAGAUCUUCCCUCCCGGCUUCUCCCAAGGCCGCUUUAACCCAAAUAAAUUUGGCUAUUAAGGGCCAAGAUGCCUGACAAAAGAUCGAAAGGUGUCUAUCCGUGAUCGCUUAAAGAAGCGGAGGAAAAGCUUGUGGCUCUCUGAUCCCGAUAAAGACAUUCCACCCGGCGCCGGCCUCCCUUCCCGCGGCCUGGCUGCGCCCUGACACCCUGAGAUCGCGGCCUCACUGGCGCACACCUCCACGGGCCCGGUGGGACCUGUGUCCGCUGCACCGGGAAUGUGGAGGUCCCCAGGCUGCCUGGGUCCCGGGGUCCGUGGAACUCCAGGCCGGACGGAGCUGGGCUCCCAAAACAGACACCCUGCACUUGCCAGAAAAACUAAACCGAGCUCACUGGGGCCUGAAUUACCGUCCCGUUUUGAUUAUUUUCUGAUGUUGAAUAAUUCUACCUUCCCACCCCCCACUCCCUGGGGUUUUGCCGAAGGGCGAUGUUAUUCCAUAUCUCUGGUUGUCUGGAGCAGCCCUUCUUUGGAACCCCGGUCGGAACCGAUGGGUGGAACUGGACAGCUGAAUUAGACUGAGGCCAAUGCCGCGGGUGUGGACUCGCAAAUGAAGAGCGUGCAGGUGGGAGGCAGAGGUCCAAUCCCUCGGUCAUCCCCAGGUUGGGUUUGGUUAUGAAAUGCGAUGUUUAUUAUCAUUAUUAAUUACUAUUGGCAUAACUACACAAAGCCUAGGGCUGCCAGCUGGGCCAAGGCCCUGCCCCUGGGGUGAUCCUUUUCACUAAAGCGAGGCAGGACUAUCCACUUUCUUGAUCCAGGACUGAAGAGGGGGCUUGGGGAGUCAGGUGCCACGUUUUGGAGGUCUCCGCACUGAGCCAUUUCUUCUUCCCUUAAGUAGAUGUAGCAUUCCCCGGGACUCUAGUCUCACCUAAGCCUUUUCUGCCACUUUGCAACAUGGGUAGUUAAGAACCUUCAGGGGUGGCAGGUUAGAGAGACAGCGCUGGCUUCCCUGCAACGGGGAUUCAUUCCUCUUAGAUCUUCUGCUGUCCCCUUCUGUUCUAUGGUGAAGCUGGAGACAGGACUCUGAAUUCCAAAGGCAAUCUAACAUCUUCGGUUUCUGUCUGUCACCUCAUGCUGGGUCCCGGAAGUUAAAGAUGACUCCCUUUUCUCAUUGCCUUCCUCCAAAUAAGGUGAACUCCAAAGCCAUCCACCUCAUCUAAUCCUUCCCCCUCAUCCAGCCACCACUCCGGGGUGGGGGGUGGGGGGGAUAGGAAAAACCAGAGCAUCAGAAGGAAAGGGAUCAUUUCUGCUCCCCCAAAGGUGAAAGAGACAGAAAUUUCCAACACACUAGACAUGAAAGACCUGAAUUUUGCUGGUAUCACUAGAUGUGCAGAUAAUGCCAAUUCUAGGGUCAGAGUCCAGAUGCCACUGCCCCAGAGCUGUCUCAGCUCAGAGACCUUUCUGUUUCUCUUUUCUUGGUUGGGGGGGAGGGGGUAAUGUUGCCAAGAGGGAGCAGAAAAGGAGGUGAUAAGCUUUUGGAGAUUUGCUAAGUAACUAAUGCUCCUCCCUGAGUCAAUUAAAGGGGAGAGAAAUGCCCCCAAAAUAAAAAAUUACUGCAUUUGCCACCCAGAA